Carassius carassius (crucian carp) is the source of this 724-nucleotide long non-coding RNA. RefSeq lists it as uncharacterized. The record is from RefSeq and is a predicted model, not a curated record. The transcript is spliced from 3 exons. Lineage: Eukaryota; Metazoa; Chordata; Actinopteri; Cypriniformes; Cyprinidae.
CAAAGGCUUAGUGUGUUCAUCAGUGGUGAGUUUAACAACACUCAACUGCAGGUAAAACAGCAUUCAGCGGUGAGUUUAACAACACUCAACUGCAGGUAAAACAGCAUUCAGCGGUGAGUUUGACCAAAGCAACGCUCAACUGCAGGAAAAACGGCAUUAAAAGGUGAGUUUAACAACGCUCCAAGGCGCGUGCAAGUAAGCAGUUUAACCGUUUUCUUACAACCCAUUCUCGCUUAUCGCUUAUUCAUCGUUUAUCACUAUGAAAUCACGUUCAAGAAGUUUCAUUCAGCACACAUCGCGAUACUUGCCAUCAGUUUACAUGUGCCACAGGUUUGGUGAGUAGAUAAGCAGUCAGCCCAGUGGUGUUUCUGGAGAGGUAUUCCUUCAGAAAUGGAGAAGACAGAAAGCUGCGGAGGCAGACAUUUGCAGCACCCAAGUGUUCGAGUGAGCAUGAUGACCACAAGUGUGUGUCGAACUUUUCAUGACCUGAUGACUGUGUUUCCCAAUCCUGGUCCUGGAGAGCCCCAACACUGCACGGUUUUGGUGUCUCUCUUAUCUGACAAACACACUUUUGAGGUCUUGGAGUCUUCUCUGAUGAGCUGAUGAGCUGAAUCAGGUGUGUUUGAUCAGGGAGACAUCUCAAAUGUGCAGUGUUGGGGUUCUCCAGGACCAGGAUUGGGAGCCACUGCCUUAUGGGACACACUUAAGUGUUUACAGAGAUUUU